UACGUAGGUCCCGAGCGUUGUCCGGAUUUAUUGGGCGUAAAGCGAGCGCAGGUGGUUUAUUAAGUCUGGUGUAAAAGGCAGUGGCACAACCAUUGUAUGCAUUGGAAACUGGUAGACUUGAGUGCAGGAGAGGCAAGCGGAAUUCCUAGUGUAGCGGUGAAAUGCAUAGAUAUUAGGAGGAACACCAGUGGCGAAGGCGGCUUGCUGGACUGAAACUGACGCUGAGGCUCGAAAGCGUGGGGAGCAAACAGG
RNAcentral lists this ribosomal RNA (252 nucleotides) under uncultured bacterium. RNAcentral describes it as "partial 16S ribosomal RNA". It matches the Rfam family "Bacterial small subunit ribosomal RNA", at positions 524 to 776 of the family's 1533-position model. The record is from RNAcentral.